AUACGGAAGGUCCGGGCGUUAUCCGGAUUUAUUGGGUUUAAAGGGAGCGCAGGCGGAGAUGCAAGCGUGACGUCAAAUUUCGGGGCUCAACCCCGUCUCGCGUCGCGAACUGCGUCCCUUGGUUGCGGGAAGGGGCGGCGGAAUUCCUAGUGUAGCGGUGCAAUGCAUAGAUAUCACGAAGAACUCCGAUCGCGAAGGCAGCCUUCCGGCCCGUCAACGACGCUCAUGCUCGAAGGUGCGGGUAUCAAACAGGAUUAGAUACCCUGGUAGUCCGCACAGUAAACGAUGGACACCCGCGGUUUGGCCUGUAUGGCUGAGCCGCCAAGCGAAAGCGUUAAGUGUCCCACCUGGGGAGUACGCCGGCAACGGUGAAACUCAAAUGAAUUGACGGGG
Molecule: ribosomal RNA, 393 nt
Filed under: uncultured bacterium
Lineage: Bacteria
Description: partial 16S ribosomal RNA
Rfam family: Bacterial small subunit ribosomal RNA
Source: RNAcentral